CCUACGGGGUGCAGCAGUGGGGAAUAUUGGGCAAUGGAGGCAACUCUUACCCAGCAAUGCCGCGUGAAUGAAGAAGGUCUUCGGAUUGUAAACCUCUUUAGGCGGGGAGCAAUGCCGGGCACGUGUGCCCGGAGGGAGAGUACCCGCAGAAUAAGCAUCGGCUAACUCCGUGCCAGCAGCCGCGGUAAUACGGAGGAUGCGAGCGUUAUCCGGAUUUAUUGGGUUUAAAGGGUGCGUAGGCGGAUUUUUAAGUCAGCGGUAAAAUGUCCGGGCUCAACCCGGGCCGGCCGUUGAAACUGGGGAUCUUGAGUGGGCGAGAAGUAUGCGGAAUGCGUGGUGUAGCGGUGAAAUGCAUAGAUAUCACGCAGAACUCCGAUUGCGAAGGCAGCAUACCGGCGCCCGACUGACGCUGAGGCACGAAAGCGUGGGGAUCGAACAGGAUUAGAUACCCUGGUAGUC
Molecule: ribosomal RNA, 459 nt
Filed under: uncultured bacterium
Lineage: Bacteria
Description: partial 16S ribosomal RNA
Rfam family: Bacterial small subunit ribosomal RNA
Source: RNAcentral